RNAcentral lists this ribosomal RNA (429 nucleotides) under Chloroflexota bacterium. RNAcentral describes it as "Chloroflexi bacterium partial 16S ribosomal RNA". It matches the Rfam family "Bacterial small subunit ribosomal RNA", at positions 355 to 776 of the family's 1533-position model. Lineage: Bacteria; Bacillati; Chloroflexota. The record is from RNAcentral.
UGGGGAAUAUUGCACAAUGGGCGCAAGCCUGAUGCAGCCAUGCCGCGUGUAUGAAGAAGGCCUUCGGGUUGUAAAGUACUUUCAGCGGGGAGGAAGGGAGUAAAGUUAAUACCUUUGCUCAUUGACGUUACCCGCAGAAGAAGCACCGGCUAACUCCGUGCCAGCAGCCGCGGUAAUACGGAGGGUGCAAGCGUUAAUCGGAAUUACUGGGCGUAAAGCGCACGCAGGUGGUUUGUUAAGUCAGAUGUGAAAUCCCCGGGCUCAACCUGGGAACUGCAUCUGAUACUGAAAAGCUUGAGUCUCGUAGAGGGGGGUAGAAUUCCAGGGGUAGCGGUGAAAUGCGUAGAGAUCUGGAGGAAUACCGGUGGCGAAGGCGGCCCCCUGGACGAAGACUGACGCUCAGGUGCGAAAGCGUGGGGAGCAAACAGG